This 427-nucleotide ribosomal RNA is filed under the name uncultured bacterium. Its description in RNAcentral is "partial 16S ribosomal RNA". It matches the Rfam family "Bacterial small subunit ribosomal RNA", at positions 355 to 774 of the family's 1533-position model. The record is from RNAcentral.
UGGGGAAUAUUGCACAAUGGGCGCAAGCCUGAUGCAGCCAUGCCGCAUGUAUGAAGAAGGCCUUCGGGUUGUAAAGUACUUUCAGCGAGGAGGAAGGCGUUGUGGUUAAUAACCGCAGCGAUUGACGUUACUCGCAGAAGAAGCACCGGCUAACUCCGUGCCAGCAGCCGCGGUAAUACGGAGGGUGCAAGCGUUAAUCGGAAUUACUGGGUGUAAAGCGCACGCAGGCGGUCUGUCAAGUCGGAUGUGAAAUCCCCGGGCUCAACCUGGGAACUGCAUCCGAAACUGGCAGGCUAGAGUCUUGUAGAGGGGGGUAGAAUUCCAGGUGUAGCGGUGAAAUGCGUAGAGAUCUGGAGGAAUACCGGUGGCGAAGGCGGCCCCCUGGACAAAGACUGACGCUCAGGUGCGAAAGCGUGGGGAGCAAACA